RNAcentral lists this ribosomal RNA (451 nucleotides) under uncultured bacterium. RNAcentral's name for it is "partial 16S ribosomal RNA". It matches the Rfam family "Bacterial small subunit ribosomal RNA", at positions 354 to 796 of the family's 1533-position model. The record is from RNAcentral.
GUGGGGAAUAUUGGACAAUGGGGGGAACCCUGAUCCAGCCAUGCCGCGUGUGUGAAGAAGGCCUUUUGGUUGUAAAGCACUUUAAGCGAGGAGGAGGCUACUUUGGUUAAUACCUAAAGAUAGUGGACGUUACUCGCAGAAUAAGCACCGGCUAACUCUGUGCCAGCAGCCGCGGUAAUACAGAGGGUGCGAGCGUUAAUCGGAUUUACUGGGCGUAAAGCGCGCGUAGGUGGCCAAUUAAGUCAAAUGUGAAAUCUCCGAGCUUAACUUGGGAAGUGCAUUCGAUACUGGUUGGCUAGAGUAUGGGAGAGGAUGGUAGAAUGCCAGGUGUAGCGGUGAAAUGCGUAGAGAUCUGGAGGAAUACCGAUGGCGAAGGCAGCCAUCUGGCCUAAUACUGACACUGAGGUGCGAAAGCAUGGGGAGCAAACAGGAUUAGAAACCCUGGUAGUCC